This 1180-nucleotide long non-coding RNA is filed under the name Homo sapiens (human). RNAcentral's name for it is "DICER1 antisense RNA 1". The record is from RNAcentral. Lineage: Eukaryota; Metazoa; Chordata; Mammalia; Primates; Hominidae.
ACUCAGGAGCAGGGAGACAGCGGGCGCGCGCGCGGAGGCCGGAGAGGCGUUUGCGGCCCAGCGCCUGGACUGGACCUUGGCGUUGGGCCGCAGUUGCCCGGAGUUUUUGGGGCCCCCGGGAACCCGCGCGCCGAGGCCGGCUAAGUUUGGCAGACUCUCUGAGCUCUCGGAAUUCGACUGCCUCCAUUGUUGCUCCUUCUGGCACCCACAGACCGUAACGUGGCCGUAAUUGUUUCCCGGAGAGCUUAGCUUCCCUCUGAGCACCUCCCUCCCCUUUUUAAAGUACCUUCCCACUCGCCUGCGUUUCCUCGCGUUAGUGGUGCAGGGGCCUCCGCAUUUGGGGAAAUAACAAACACCCACUUCCGCCCCCCACCCCAACCGGGAUCCCCAGAUAAUGAGAAAUAGAUGGUGGCCCUCUGUUUGUAAGCUGUUCAUUUGCAUAGGUCGGAACCGCGCACCACAGCUUGAAGCUAGGAAUUAAAAUAUCGGUGGGAAUUAAAUAAGUGGCUGGCUUAAAGAACAUCUUCUUAAUUUAUCCCCAAAUGUAGACAUCUCUUCAGUGGACCCCCUGAUAGGCCGGUUUGCUCCAGAAGAGACGGGGUUUCACCAUGUUGGCCAUGAUGGUCUCGAUUUCUGACCUUGUCAUCCGUCCGCCUUGGCCUCCCAAAGUGCUGGGAUUACGGGCGUGAGCCACCGUACCCAGCCUGCUUCCUGUUUUAACAGACGAAGAAAUGGAAUAACUUCCAACAAGUUGGAGCUGAAGGAGUGCCCAGGCUGCGGAUGGAGGAAGGACGUGCUCGGGAGAAGGUGAAGAUGGGAGAGAAGCAAGAUCUUCUGUGUUUGGACCAAGGACACAUUUCCUUACUCCAUAGCAGCUGUGGUCAGUGGCUUAGCUCGGACAAGGAGAUGAGAGCCCAUGUGUUGUGAGGGUUCUUCUGGGAACUCUGAGAAGGCAGGAGCCGCCCCCGCCCUUCACUGCCUCUCUUCCAUUCUGCAGCAUGGAAUAUGGAUGUGUGGUCUGGAUGUACAGACACCAUUUUGGACCAUAAAGACAAGGACGAUUGUCUAAGGAUGACACAGCCAGAGCACUGAGAGUGGCGAGAAGGACAGGGGAGCUGCUGUGCCAAGCAGGACUGUCUCUCUUAAGAGAAAAAUAAAAUUUAUUGGUGUUUAAACCAUU